This 253-nucleotide ribosomal RNA is filed under the name uncultured bacterium. RNAcentral describes it as "partial 16S ribosomal RNA". It matches the Rfam family "Bacterial small subunit ribosomal RNA", at positions 524 to 776 of the family's 1533-position model. The record is from RNAcentral.
UACAGAGACGGCAAGCGUUGCUCGGAUUCAUUGGGCGUAAAGGGUGCGUAGGCGGUCGGGUAAGUCUGAUGUGAAAUCUCACAGCCUAACUGUGACUGGUCAUUGGAAACUGCCCGGCUCGAGGACUGGAGGGGAGACUGGAAUAGCUGGUGUAGCGGUGAAAUGCGUAGAGAUCAGCUAGAACACCGGUGGCGAAGGCGGGUCUCUGGACAGUUCCUGGCGCUGAGGCACGAAAGCCAGGGGAGCAAACGGG